This 92-nucleotide transfer RNA is filed under the name Chloroflexota bacterium. RNAcentral describes it as "Chloroflexi bacterium (hydrothermal vent metagenome) tRNA-Ser". It matches the Rfam family "tRNA". From Rfam's summary of the family: Transfer RNA (tRNA) molecules are approximately 80 nucleotides in length. Their secondary structure includes four short double-helical elements and three loops (D, anti-codon, and T loops). The record is from RNAcentral. Lineage: Bacteria; Bacillati; Chloroflexota.
GGGGAGGUGCCAGAGUGGACGAAUGGGGCCGCCUGCUAAGCGGUUAGGGGGCGAGAGCUCCCUCCAGGGUUCGAAUCCCUGCCUCCCCGCCU